This 253-nucleotide ribosomal RNA is filed under the name uncultured bacterium. RNAcentral's name for it is "partial 16S ribosomal RNA". It matches the Rfam family "Bacterial small subunit ribosomal RNA", at positions 524 to 776 of the family's 1533-position model. The record is from RNAcentral.
UACGGAGGGUGCAAGCGUUAUCCGGAGUCACUGGGUUUAAAGGGUGCGUAGGCGGGCAGGUAAGUCAGUGGUGAAAUCUCCGGGCUUAACCCGGAAACUGCCGUUGAUACUAUCUGUCUUGAAUAUCGUGGAGGUAAGCGGAAUAUGUCAUGUAGCGGUGAAAUGCUUAGAUAUGACAUAGAACACCGAUUGCGAAGGCAGCUUACUACACGAUCAUUGACGCUGAGGCACGAAAGCGUGGGGAGCAAACAGG